AGAGAAAAGCGUCAAUCAUACGCAGCACUCGAUUACCAAAGCCGUGUCCUCUGCAUAUUCUGUCCCUUUUCUGCCGCUGCUGCUCGUUUUCUCUUCCGCGUCGCUUCUCCGCCUUUUCUAGAUCUCCGGAUUCGCGCCUGAUAUGUCUUCCUCCAAGCCCGCCGGAUCCAUCCAUGACUUCACCGUCAAGGUUGGUGGCCCACGGGGUUUAUGUUUUCUAUCGUCAUCGUGUGCUCCGUUUCCUUGUCUUUUUAGUGUGCUGAUGGUGGCUCCUUUCGAAGAUCGAUUUUUUAGACUGAGUCGGCUGUUCGAUUUGGAGGAUUGCUCGAAAGAUGGGAUUUUGACAAGGGAUUGGUUGUUUUUAUCGUUGGUUUUGUUUUAAUUUGUCAUCCGGAGUCGUCAAGGAGGUUUAUUUUUGAAGAUCCACUGCCCUGUAGUUUUGAAUUUCUUGUGAUUAGGUCUUUCUUUUUUAUUGUUCUUGGUUCUAGGGAUGGAUCGAGUUUACCGUCGUGGUCGAUUUUUUGGAACAUGUUUAAUCUUUUGUGAUUAUAUGCAACUUGAUGUAGUUUUUUAUGGUCAUUGGUUUCUUGUUCGGAACGAAUUCUUGAAGCUAAUGAAGUGUAUUUUCCUUCAUCGUUCUCGACUUAAUCCUUUGUGUUCUGUCAAGUCAAAUGAGAUGGACAGAUCAAUUAGCCCCCAGAUUGGACAACUAUCAUCAUAUUGUAUCUGCUGAUGGUGCUGAUGCCUCGAGUGUUAGGAGUUUUUGUUGUUUGUGGGGGAAGAAAACUUUUUCUCUGCGAAUGUGGGUGGUGAUGAUUGAUGAUGAUGAUCAUCAUGUGUUGUAUGGCUUCCGAUGCAGGAUGCCAGGGGAAAUGAUGUGGAUCUUAGCAUUUACAAAGGGAAGGUCUUGCUGAUUGUCAAUGUUGCAUCUCAAUGGAAACAAAAAACUGCUAAAGGGCAUGAAGAAUGUAGAGUUAAGGUGCAGCUUACCUUGAUAUAUUCAGUGCUUGUGUGAAUUGAGGGUAGUGAUGAACCAAGGAAGUUUGUAGUUCUCCAUCUAUCCACACCUGCAGAUUGUGCUGAAGAGUGUACCAGCCUUGAUCACCCAUCCCAAGGCAUUGUAGCCUGAGCUCCGGGCAGUUACUGAUGCUCAAAAAUUGAAGUUUGCUUGGAAAACCAUCAUUUGGCAAGCACAAGAGGCCAGGACAGUCUGAGAUCUCGAGACGUGCAAGUGAGGCCAUGUUUAUGAGGCUAACUGGUAAAUACAUGAGAUGCCUGCAGUUUUCGAUCGCCAAGUCCUCUAACUUUAUUAGUUUUGGCAGUCCUUUGGGAAGAGUAUGGAGCUCAGGGCAGUGCUUGAUGGCCAAGUACAACAGGCCGGUCGGGAGCCAAUCAUCCGGUAAUGAUAGCAAUUGAUUGCAGUGACUAAUUUCCAAUCGACGGAUCAAAGCAUGGGAACCUUGUAUAUUGAAAGGAAAGGUUCUCCAUUGCAGUCCACUGAGAGUCAGGGAGGGAAGCAAGGAAACAACAGACCAGGAACUCCAAAUCCAGUCAUCAGUAGUCUUCACUUCUAGUUAUUUGAGUGCUGGGAAGUCAGAUAGGCCAGCAAAACUUUGGGAUGCUUCUAUCACCAACUUCGUCAAAGCAGGAAAUUUGUGCUUUAAUUGGUCAAGAGCAAAGCAGUCCUUGAUAACAAGCUCACGAAGAGAAGGCAAAACACAGUCAUCAGCACCACACCAUUCUUCCAGUCCUGACAUUGUUUCUAGAUGUAGCUUCUCCAAUGAUGGAAACCUUUGCUUGUUACUGCCACAAAAUGAGCAGUCAAGGUGCUGCACCCGAUGCAUUUCUUUUAUGUAUAGAUAUUUAAGCUUCGGUAAUUGGCCAAGUGGUGGGAGGUUAAAACAAUUAUCACAGUUGCAGAUCCAUAAGGUCACUAGAUUGGAGAAGGAAGGAUCUCCUACCCAAGUUGGAAAUGAUGUUCCUCCAUACCCAACUAUUCCAAGCUCUUUCAGCUUCUGCUGCCUUGAAAACAAGAUCAAGUCUUGCAAUGAGAAGAUCACCAUGGAGAUUGUUCAAGUCCCUCAACUGAGAUAAACCACAGUGAAGCCUUGUGCUCACAAUAUAUCUUGAAAGUGUUUGAAGAUCAGUUAACAAUCCAAUAUCUGGUGGCAUAAAUCUCAAAUUGCCUCUUGUGUGCGUUCCUUCCGGCGCCAAUGUCAUUCUUGAAUUACCAUCAAGAUGUAGGUCAAGAUUCCGUAACUUGCGCAGAUUCCUCGUAUCCUUUGGAAGCUCUUCAAGAAAAUAGCAAUUCCUAAGUACCAAGGUUUGCAGGUUGUAGAGGUGAGACACAGAUUCAGGCAGUCUAAUGAUAUUUGUGUUCUGUAGUUGGAGACAGCGCAGAUGCUUCAGAUCCCCGAUUGAUUCGGGCAGCAGAGCCAAUCCCAAAUUGCUUAGAUUUAGAGUGCGUAGGCUCUGAAGUCUAUCGGCAAGAUCAUCAGGAACGGUCAUCAGGUAACUCGUAGAGCCGCCAACCAGGAUUAGUGUAUGCAAGCCUUUGCAUUUAUAAACUUCCUCAGAUAAAUUGUUUUCUCCCCUUAACCGAGGUGAUAUGUUUGAGAUAUUUUGAUCAAAUAGGUCAUAUUACAGUGAUAAAUGGCGAAUGCUGGCAGAGCCAAACCAGCCUUUGCCGGGCUCCACGACAGAACAUUCCUCGGCUGCUAUAUGUCGGGCAAAUUCAUGAACAACAUCAUGCAUGAUGUACCUAGAGGUGUUUGUUGAAUUCUGGACUUGAAGAGGAGAUGGUAGCUGAGCAAUCACACACUGUGAAGGUGUGGUUAGAACUGCUUUGCCAUUAAGAUGAAGUUUUGGAAGCUAACAUAGUUGACUCAGUCUGCCCUGGAAUCUUUAUCAUAUAAGGGAGUGCUCAGAGUGUCGGAAUGAUGGGCUAACUAGUUUGUCAAUUUUAUUAAGCUCAAACUAUUGAUUAAAAUACUUCAAUUAAAAUUUUAACAGUACACCCAUCAAAUCUUUGUAAGUCUAUCUUAGUGUUGCCCACUUCUAACAUGGGACUAAUCGGGAUGUUUCAAGCUCCCUCACUUAAGGCUAAGAUGAUCAUCGUUUUGUUCC
Musa acuminata AAA Group (dessert banana) is the source of this 3126-nucleotide long non-coding RNA. RefSeq lists it as uncharacterized. The transcript is spliced from 3 exons. The record is from RefSeq and is a predicted model, not a curated record. Lineage: Eukaryota; Viridiplantae; Streptophyta; Magnoliopsida; Zingiberales; Musaceae.